RNAcentral lists this ribosomal RNA (253 nucleotides) under uncultured bacterium. RNAcentral's name for it is "partial 16S ribosomal RNA". It matches the Rfam family "Bacterial small subunit ribosomal RNA", at positions 524 to 776 of the family's 1533-position model. The record is from RNAcentral.
UACAUGGGGUGCAAACGUUGCUCGGAUUUAUUGGGCGUAAAGAGCGUGUAGGCGGCCAGAUAGGUCAGCUGUGAAAACUCGAGGCUCAACCUCGAGACGUCGGUUGAAACCAUCUGGCUAGAGUCCGGAAGAGGAGAGUGGAAUUCCCGGUGUAGCGGUGAAAUGCGCAGAUAUCGGGAAGAACACCCGUGGCGAAGGCGGCUCUCUGGGACGGUACUGACGCUGAGACGCGAAAGCGUGGGGAGCGAACAGG